Streptomyces malaysiense is the source of this 293-nucleotide small RNA. It matches the Rfam family "5' ureB small RNA". Lineage: Bacteria; Bacillati; Actinomycetota; Actinomycetes; Kitasatosporales; Streptomycetaceae. The record is from Rfam.
CGUCGGCGACCUGGGGGCAGAUGAAGUGGACAUGCGCGUCGAUGGCGCCGGCCGUGAGGAUCCGCCCGUUGCCCGCGAUGAUCUCGGUCUCGGGGCCGAUCACCAGGUCGGGGUGGACGCCGUCCAUGGUGUCGGGGUUGCCGGCCUUGCCGAGAGCGGUGAUACGGCCGUCGCGGAUGCCGAUGUCGGCCUUCACGAUGCCCCAGUGGUCCACGACGACGGCCCCGGUGAUCACGGUGUCGGGGGUGCCUUCGGCGCGGGUGGCGCGGGACUGGCCCAUGGACUCGCGGAUG